UUUUAUAACAAUGAUUUUAGUGGCGGACUGGUGAGUAAUGCAUAAGCAACCUGCCUAUGAGAGGGGAAUAACAGUGAGAAAUCACUGCUAAUACCGCAUAAGCUGUGAGUAUCGCAUGAUACAAACAGAAAAGGAGUAAUCCGCUUAUAGAUGGGCUUAUGUCUGAUUAGCUAGUUGGUGGGGUAACGGCCUACCAAGGCGAUGAUCAGUAGCCGGACUGAGAGGUUGAACGGCCACAUUGGGACUGAGAUACGGCCCAGACUCCUACGGGAGGCAGCAGUCGGGAAUAUUGCGCAAUGGAGGAAACUCUGACGCAGUGACGCCGCGUGCAGGAAGAAGGUUUUCGGAUUGUAAACUGCUUUAGAUAGGGAAGAAAAAAAUGACGGUACCUAUAGAAUAAGCUCCGGCUAACUACGUGCCAGCAGCCGCGGUAAUACGUAGGGAGCAAGCGUUAUCCGGAUUUAUUGGGUGUAAAGGGUGCGUAGACGGAUUUGCAAGUUGGUUGUGAAAACCCGAGGCUCAACCUCGGAACUGCAACCAAAACUACAAGUCUUGAGUACUGGAGGGGAAUGCGGAAUUCCUAGUGUAGCGGUGAAAUGCGUAGAUAUUAGGAAGAACACCGGUGGCGAAGGCGGCAUUCUGGACAGCAACUGACGUUGAGGCACGAAAGUGUGGGGAGCAAACAGGAUUAGAUACCCUGGUAGUCCACACCGUAAACGAUGGAUACUAGGUGUUGGUGGUGAUAAGCCAUCAGUGCCGUCGCAAACGCAGUAAGUAUCCCACCUGGGGAGUACGACCGCAAGGUUGAAACUCAAAGGAAUUGACGGGGGCCCGCACAAGCAGUGGAGUAUGUGGUUUAAUUCGAAGCAACGCGAAGAACCUUACCAAGGCUUGACAUAUACAGGAAUAUGCUAGAAAUAGU
This 922-nucleotide ribosomal RNA is filed under the name uncultured bacterium. RNAcentral describes it as "bacterial SSU rRNA". It matches the Rfam family "Bacterial small subunit ribosomal RNA", at positions 77 to 1010 of the family's 1533-position model. The record is from RNAcentral.